This 497-nucleotide ribosomal RNA is filed under the name uncultured bacterium. RNAcentral's name for it is "partial 16S ribosomal RNA". It matches the Rfam family "Bacterial small subunit ribosomal RNA", at positions 28 to 507 of the family's 1533-position model. The record is from RNAcentral.
GACGAACGCUGGCGGCGUGCCUAAUACAUGCAAGUUGAGCGCUGAAGGUUGGUACUUGUACCAACUGGAUGAGCAGCGAACGGGUGAGUAACGCGUGGGGAAUCUGCCUUUGAGCGGGGGACAACAUUUGGAAACGAAUGCUAAUACCGCAUAAAAACUUUAAACACAAGUUUUAAGUUUGAAAGAUGCAAUUACAUCACUCAAAGAUGAUCCCGCGUUGUAUUAGCUAGUUGGUGAGGUAAAGGCUCACCAAGGCGAUGAUACAUAGCCGACCUGAGAGGGUGAUCGGCCACAUUGGGACUGAGACACGGCCCAAACUCCUACGGGAGGCAGCAGUAGGGAAUCUUCGGCAAUAGACGAAAGUCUGACCGAGCAACGCCGCGUGAGUGAAGAAGGUUUUCGGAUCGUAAAACUCUGUUGGUAGAGAAGAACGUUGGUGAGAGUGGAAAGCUCAUCAAGUGACGGUAACUACCCAGAAGGGGACGGCUAACUACGUG